UACGGAGGAGGCAAGCGUUAUCCGGAAUUAUUGGGCGUAAAGCGUCCGCAGGUGGCACCUCAAGUCUGCUGUCAAAGACCGGGGCUUAACCCCAGAAAGGCAGUGGAAACUGAAGCGCUAGAGUGCAGUAGGGGUAGAGGGAAUUCCCGGUGUAGCGGUGAAAUGCGUAGAGAUCAGGAAGAACACCGGUGGCGAAAGCGCUCUGCUGGACCUUAACUGACACUGAGGGACGAAAGCUAGGGGAGCGAAUGGG
RNAcentral lists this ribosomal RNA (253 nucleotides) under uncultured bacterium. RNAcentral's name for it is "partial 16S ribosomal RNA". It matches the Rfam family "Bacterial small subunit ribosomal RNA", at positions 524 to 776 of the family's 1533-position model. The record is from RNAcentral.